GCCUCGUUAGCGCAGUAGGCAGCGCGUCAGUCUCAUAAUCAAAUUUAGAAAUCUGAAGGUCGUGAGUUCGAUCCUCACACGGGGCA
Nematostella vectensis (starlet sea anemone) is the source of this 86-nucleotide non-coding RNA. Lineage: Eukaryota; Metazoa; Cnidaria; Anthozoa; Actiniaria; Edwardsiidae. The record is from Rfam.